RNAcentral lists this ribosomal RNA (423 nucleotides) under uncultured Geoalkalibacter sp. Its description in RNAcentral is "bacterial SSU rRNA". It matches the Rfam family "Bacterial small subunit ribosomal RNA", at positions 496 to 917 of the family's 1533-position model. Lineage: Bacteria; Pseudomonadati; Thermodesulfobacteriota; Desulfuromonadia; Desulfuromonadales; Geoalkalibacteraceae. The record is from RNAcentral.
GCUAACUCCGUGCCAGCAGCCGCGGUAAUACGGAGGGUGCAAGCGUUGUUCGGAAUUAUUGGGCGUAAAGCGCGUGCAGGCGGCCAUUUAAGUCUGAUGUGAAAGCCCCGGGCUCAACCUGGGAAGUGCAUCGGAUACUGGGUGGCUUGAGUACGGGAGAGGGAAGCGGAAUUCCGAGUGUAGGGGUGAAAUCCGUAGAUAUUCGGAGGAACACCAGUGGCGAAGGCGGCUUCCUGGACCGAUACUGACGCUGAGACGCGAAAGCGUGGGGAGCAAACAGGAUUAGAUACCCUGGUAGUCCACGCCGUAAACGAUGGGUACUAGGUGUCGCGGGUAUUGACCCCUGCGGUGCCGAAGCUAACGCAUUAAGUACCCCGCCUGGGGAGUACGGCCGCAAGGCUAAAACUCAAAGGAAUUGACGGA